This 292-nucleotide ribosomal RNA is filed under the name uncultured bacterium. RNAcentral describes it as "partial 16S ribosomal RNA". It matches the Rfam family "Bacterial small subunit ribosomal RNA", at positions 505 to 796 of the family's 1533-position model. The record is from RNAcentral.
GUGUCAGCCGCCGCGGUAAUACGAAGGGGGCUAGCGUUGUUCGGAAUUACUGGGCGUAAAGCGCACGUAGGCGGGUUAUUAAGUCAGGGGUGAAAUCCCGGAGCUCAACUCCGGAACUGCCUUUGAUACUGGUAAUCUAGAGAUCGGAAGAGGUUAGUGGAAUUCCCAGUGUAGAGGUGAAAUUCGUAGAUAUUGGGAAGAACACCAGUGGCGAAGGCGGCUAACUGGUCCGAUACUGACGCUGAGGUGCGAAAGCGUGGGGAGCAAACAGGAUUAGAAACCCCGGUAGUCC